GGGAUUGUGGCUCAGUGGUAGAGCUCUCACCUUGCAUGUGAGAAUCCCUGAGUUCGAUCCUUAGCACCA
RNAcentral lists this transfer RNA (69 nucleotides) under Ictidomys tridecemlineatus (thirteen-lined ground squirrel). RNAcentral describes it as "Spermophilus tridecemlineatus (thirteen-lined ground squirrel) tRNA". It matches the Rfam family "tRNA". From Rfam's summary of the family: Transfer RNA (tRNA) molecules are approximately 80 nucleotides in length. Their secondary structure includes four short double-helical elements and three loops (D, anti-codon, and T loops). Lineage: Eukaryota; Metazoa; Chordata; Mammalia; Rodentia; Sciuridae. The record is from Rfam by way of RNAcentral.